Molecule: ribosomal RNA, 579 nt
Filed under: uncultured archaeon
Lineage: Archaea
Description: bacterial SSU rRNA
Rfam family: Archaeal small subunit ribosomal RNA
Source: RNAcentral
CCGACGGUGAGGGAUGAAGGCUGGGGGCGCAAACCGGAUUAGAUAGCCGGGUAGUCCCAGCAGUAAACGAUGCCAGCUAUGUGUUGCUGGAACCAUGGGUUCCAGCAGUGCCGAAGGGAAGCCGUGAAGCUGGCCACCUGGGAAGUACGGUCGCAAGGCUGAAACUUAAAGGAAUUGGCGGGGGAGUACCACAACCGGUGGAGCCUGCGGUUUAAUUGGAUACAACGCCGGGAAUCUUACCGGAGGGGACAGCAGUAUGAAGGCCAGGCUAAAGACCUUGCCAGAUCAGCUGAGAGGAGGUGCAUGGCCGUCGCCAGUUCGUACCGUGAGGCAUCCUGUUUAGUCAGGCAACGAUCGAGACCCGCAGUCUUAUUUGCCAGCAUGCCCUUUGGGGUGUAUGGGUACAAUAAGACGACCGCCAGCGCUAAGCUGGAGGAAGGAGCGGGCUACGGUAGGUCAGCAUGCCCCGAAUCCUCCGGGAUACACGCGGGCUACAAUGGUCAGGACAAAAGGUACCGACCUCGAAAGAGUGAGGUAAUCCACAAACCUGAUCUCAGUCCGGAUCGAAGGCUGCAACUC